RNAcentral lists this ribosomal RNA (468 nucleotides) under uncultured bacterium. RNAcentral describes it as "partial 16S ribosomal RNA". It matches the Rfam family "Bacterial small subunit ribosomal RNA", at positions 28 to 507 of the family's 1533-position model. The record is from RNAcentral.
GACGAACGCUGGCGGCGUGCUUAACACAUGCAAGUCGAACGGAAAGGCCCUGCUUUUGUGGGGUGCUCGAGUGGCGACCGGGUGAGUAACACGUGAGUAACCUGCCCUUGACUUUGGGAUAACUUCAGGACACUGGGGCUAAUACCGGAUACGAGCUCCUGCUGCAUGGUGGGUUUUGUAAAGUUUCGGCGGUUGGGGAUGGACUCGCGGCUUAUCAGCUUGUUGGUGGGUUAGUGGCUUACCAAGGCUUUGACGGGUAGCCGGCCUGAGAGGGUGACCGGCAAAAUGGGGACUGAGAUACGGCACAGAGUAGUAAGGGAGGCAGCAGUAGGGAAUAAUGCACAAUGGGCGGAAGCAUGAUGCAGCAACGCGGCGUGAGGGAUGACGGACUUCGGGUAGGAAACCGCUUUGGCCUGUGACGAAGCGUGAGUGACGGUAAUGGAUAAAGAAGCACCGGCUAACUACGUG